This is a non-coding RNA of Helianthus annuus (common sunflower), 440 nucleotides long. NCBI's taxonomy places the organism in Eukaryota, Viridiplantae, Streptophyta, Magnoliopsida, Asterales, Asteraceae. The record is from Rfam.
AGGUAGUCGACACCACUAAUAUCAAUUCAAAACGGCUAUAGACACUUGAUCAAAUGAUGUGUAAGUGAGCCUCCUCUCGGACAGCUUCCUCUCUUUGCUCCUCGGUCUAUGGGUCUUAGUAGCUGUUUCCAGUUGUUUCUCCCCUCUCGAGGCAAGUUCUUCUCCAUGCUAGUCGGUGAGGUAAUAGCUUAUCAAGGCGAUGAUCAGUAGCUAGCUAGCCCGAGAGGACGAUCAACCACUCAAGCUUAGACACAACCCAAACUCCUAAGAGAUGCGACAGUGGGGGCAACAGGUGUAAGCUUGACAGAGCAAUGCUAUGUGGAGGUAGAAGGCCUAAGGGUCGUGAACUUAUUUUCUCGAAAGAAGAAUCAAUGAUGGUAUCUGUGGAAUACACAUGGGCUAACUAUGUGACAAUAACCAUCAUAAUACAGAGUUUGUGU